CAGUACUAUAGAAGACCUUUACUAAACUCUAAUAUUAAAGGGUUCAUAAUACAGUCAUCCAACACAAACAUCUAGCUAUUCGAGAAAACUAUGCACCAUCUAAAGAAGCAGACUCAGACUCCUUAUGCAUCCAUCUGAAGAAGCAGACUCUUAAUCCAGAACCAUCACCUAAGGAUGACAGAGAAACUCCUCCCACACCUAAUACUCCUCUUCAUUAACUGAUAGUAACAUCAGAGUCUGAUGCUCUACCCCUGCUUAUAAGAAGAUGAAAAGAUAUUAUGCUCUCUAAGUGGAAUCUCGGUGUUAGCCAGAUAUCACUCUACUAGGGGCAUCAUCAUCUUCUCUUACUGAUCAUCAUUAACCUCCUCCUCCUUUGAUUCAUUAUCGUCCUCUGGAUCUCGACCUUCUCGAGGGCCUUAGCUACCCUCCCCAC
Molecule: long non-coding RNA, 433 nt
Filed under: Lupinus angustifolius (narrow-leaved blue lupine)
Lineage: Eukaryota; Viridiplantae; Streptophyta; Magnoliopsida; Fabales; Fabaceae
Description: long non-coding RNA (LANG_LNC001870)
Source: RNAcentral